CCUACGGUGGACAGCAGUGGGGAAUAUUGCACAAUGGGGGAAACCCUGAUCCAGCAACGCCGCGUGAGUGAAGAAGUAUUUCGGUAUGUAAAGCUCUAUCAGCAGGGAAGAAGAUGACGGUACCUGAGUAAGAAGCCACGGCUAACUACGUGCCAGCAGCCGCGGUAAUACGUAGGGGGCAAGCGUUAUCCGGAUUUACUGGGUGUAAAGGGGGCGGAGACGGGGAGACAAGUCGGAAGUGAAAGCCCGGGGCUCAACCCCGGGACUGUUUUGGAAACUGCCUGACUGGAGUGCGGGAGAGGCAAGCGGAAUGCCUGGUGUAGCGGUGAAAUGCGUAGAUAUUAGGAAGAACACCAGUGGCGAAGGCAGCUUGCUGGACAGUAACUGACGUUGAGGCUCGAAAGCGUGGGGAGCAAACAGGAUUAGAUACCCCUGUAGUC
This 440-nucleotide ribosomal RNA is filed under the name uncultured bacterium. RNAcentral's name for it is "partial 16S ribosomal RNA". It matches the Rfam family "Bacterial small subunit ribosomal RNA", at positions 338 to 795 of the family's 1533-position model. The record is from RNAcentral.